Molecule: ribosomal RNA, 429 nt
Filed under: Bacillota bacterium
Lineage: Bacteria; Bacillati; Bacillota
Description: Firmicutes bacterium partial 16S ribosomal RNA
Rfam family: Bacterial small subunit ribosomal RNA
Source: RNAcentral
UAGGGAAUCAUCGGCAAUGGACGGAAGUCUGACCGAGCAACGCCGCGUGAGUGAAGAAGGUUUUCGGAUCGUAAAGCUCUGUUGUUAGAGAAGAACGCUGGUAGGAGAGGAAAAUCUACCAAGUGACGGUAACUAACCAGAAAGGGACGGCUAACUACGUGCCAGCAGCCGUGGUAAUACGUAGGUCCCGAGCGUUGUCCGGAUUUAUUGGGCGUAAAGCGAGCGCAGGCGGUUCUUUAAGUCUGCAGUUAAAGGCAGUGGCUUAACCAUUGUACGCUUUGGAAGCUGGAUGACUUAAGUGCAGAAGGGGAGCGUAGAAUUCCAUGUGUAGCGGUAAAAUGCGUAGAUAUGUGGAGGAACACCGGUGGCGAAAGCGGCUCUCUGGUCUGUAUCUGCCGCUGAGGCUCGAACGCGUGGGGAGCAAACAGG